CCCUUAGAUGUUCUGGGCGGCCCGCGCACUACAAUGGCGUGUGCAGCGAGUGCCGAAGUAGAGUUUUCCGAGGUAUUCUUGCAAUGCUCGUUUUGAUGGGGAUAGACCCUUGCAACUGUUGGUUUUGAACGAGGAAUUCCUUGUAAGCAUGGUUUAUCAUCCGACGCUGAAUGCGUCCCUGCCCUUUGUACACACCGCCCGUCGCUCCUACCGAUUGGAUGGUCCGGUGAAGCCUCGGGAUUGUGGUUCUUGCCGCUUUAUUGUGGCGUGACCGCGAGAACUUGUCUAAACCUUAUCAUCUAGAGGAAGGUGAAGUCGUAACA
RNAcentral lists this ribosomal RNA (323 nucleotides) under uncultured eukaryote. RNAcentral describes it as "partial 18S ribosomal RNA". It matches the Rfam family "Eukaryotic small subunit ribosomal RNA", at positions 1470 to 1796 of the family's 1831-position model. The record is from RNAcentral.